Non-coding RNA from Pimephales promelas (fathead minnow), 455 nucleotides. NCBI's taxonomy places the organism in Eukaryota, Metazoa, Chordata, Actinopteri, Cypriniformes, Leuciscidae. The record is from RefSeq and is a predicted model, not a curated record.
UUUUAAAAUUGUUUCUCUAGCAGAGCUGUAGAGACUUGUGAUGUUGGGCUGAUUGAUAGUGUUAAUUAUUUGAUUUAAGUUAUUUGCACUUUAAUUUAUUGAAGAGAAUAACUUUUAUUUUUCUUCUAUGAACAAGACUGGAAGGAGUCCUGUUGAGGAUUUAGAUUCCUCCUCUUUUGAAAAGUGCAACCGAUUGAAGUUAUAAAGGGCUCUGGGGUGUUUUGCCAGGCAGAAGUGUGGAAAGCAGCCCUCCUUGCCACCUCUGCUACUGCCAUGGUGUGGAAUCUGCUGCUGGGCACAUUUGAUCUGGAGACUUUGCUGAAAAACAACCUGAAUGGUGGGAAGCCAACCAGAGGGGAUGGGGAGCAGCUGGUCGCCCUUGACCAAAUUAAAAAGGCAUCAUUAUUGAUGCUACAUUGAAGAAGUGUCCGUCAGCAGCCGAGGGGAGAUGGGCA